Molecule: small RNA, 2406 nt
Filed under: Pongo abelii (Sumatran orangutan)
Lineage: Eukaryota; Metazoa; Chordata; Mammalia; Primates; Hominidae
Description: processed transcript
Source: RNAcentral
UGGCCUUCUGCUAGAAGGAAAUGUAGCCUACUGGGAAAGGACAGAGCCAGGUCUGUGUGCCUCUCCCUGGAGUCCCUGACACUUGCUGUUUUGGCUUGAAGCCUUUGGCCAUUAAAGUUGCCUGUAUCCAGGCAUGACUGGCCCCUGCUCAGGGCCAAGAGAGGGUGAGUCUUGCAAACCAAGGAAGCCCAGGUACCCUGUCUGCUUCCUUCAGGGUCUGGACCACUCCUUUCCCUAUAGGCCUUCCAGUCGGCUGGGGAGUGUUGGUGCAUGUGUGCACGUGUGCAUGUGAGUUGGUGGGGCUGAGGUCUGGGGGUACCUGGGAUUCCACCAGGGAUUCCUCUUUGCAGGCAUAUGGUGUCUUUGGUGAAUUAAUUAUUUAAUUCAAUUGAUGUUUAUUAAGAUAUUGAUUAAGCCCCUCCUGGGUACUUGGCUUUAGGGAAUGAUUCCUUGACCUCAUGGAAUUUGCAUUGUAGUGAGGGAGGCACACUUGAGGCAAGGAGCAGGUGGCAGAGAGCAAUAACAGCUCUGAAGAAAAGCUAGAGGCUGAUGAGAUGACCAUGACUUGGGGUGAGGGGAGAGAGCAAGACAAGGACUGCUCUGUCGGGAAGGCCUUUGACUGGGGGCCUGAAUGAUGGAGAGCCAGCCACAUGAAAAACUUAAAAAGAGCACUGCAGGCAAGGAAUCGGUAAAUGCAAAGGCCCUGGGGCAUGUUGAAGGGUGGAAGGAAGGCCAGUGGAGCUGGAGCCAAGAGACUGAGGGGCAGCUUGGUGGGUGAAGAGCCCCAGGGACCCGCAGUGUCAUAACCUAGGAGCUUCUUAGAAAUGCAGACUGAGGCCGGGUGCGGUGGCUCACGCCUGUAAUCCCAGCACUUUGGGAGGCCGAGGCGAGCGGAUCACCUAAGGUCAGGAGAUCAAGACCAGCUUGGCCAACAUGGCGAAACCCCGUCUCCAGUAAAAAAAUACAAAAAUUAGCCAGGCGUGGUGGCAGGCGCCUGUAAUCCCAGCUACUAGGGAGGCUGAGGCAGGAUAAUUGCCUAAACCCGGUCAGAAGGUGGAGGUUGCAGUGAGCCGAGAUCGUGCCACUGCACUCCAGCCUGGGUGACAGAGCGAGACUGUGUCUCAAACAAACAAACAAACAAAAAAACAAAAAAAGAAAUACAGACUGAAAGCCCCAGCCUAGACUUGCUGAAACAUAAGCUUUUUUUUUUUUUUUUUUUUUUUUAAUCAAGAUCCCCAAGUGAUCUGUGAGAAUUACUCCCCUAGUAUCUCAUUUUAUAGAUGGGGAGACUGAGAGCCAGAGAGAGGAAGGGACUUCCUAGAGGGAUGGAGCUGACAGUCCUGUCCCUGCCCUGGUGCCCCUUCCAACUGCAUUUUACCAGAAAGGCUGUCUGACUUCCUGGGGAGGCUGAGAGUGAGGAGGGUAUGAACCAGUAGAAGCAGAUGAUCUGUGGAGGGGUCUGCGUUGAGCACAUUGUGCAGAAUUGGUGUCCUCUGCAAAGCUGCCCAGGUUUUAGCCUGCCUCAGGCCUCUCCUCUUCUGGGGCCAAGGGACAACCAGCUUUCAGCCCGGUAGCCUCUCUUUGAGGGGGAAGGUGGUGGUUCCCUGGCGCGCCACCAUCAGGAGGCGAUGGUACCAUCGGCAGGCAUUGUCAACACACCCUGGAGGCAAAUGUCUUGAAUGGUGAGAGUAUUGGAGGGCAGUGAUAUAACUUACCUGGCUCCCAGAAGGCAGGGGGCUCUCCAGUCCCACCGUCCACUCCUUCCUCCCUCAGUUCCCCAGAGGGAUAGACACUUGUGGAGUGAGGAUUGUUCCAGGUGGGAGACACCCUCAUCAUUCUCUUGGGAGUUGUAUCUCCUGCCCAUCCCCAACUGUUCUAUCCAUAUGCAGGUGCAGAUACAAGUGCAAGGCAGCCCGGCACAUUCCUGAGUGUUUGGGGCAGGGCUGAGUGAAACAAAGUCCAGCUUCCCGGGCUAUCCCUCACAGGCCUGUGUGACAGCAUCCCCAGAACAUUUGAGUGUGAGAAGGCCCUCUGGGAGACACUAAGUCAGGGGGCUUCUGGGGAAUGGAAAUAGAGAUGUUCCUGAGCCCCAGGAGUUGUCUGAUUUCUCUAAUUGCCAGCUGCUGGAGGGCAGGGAUGUUGUCCUGUUCAUCACUGGGUCGCCACCAGGCAGGCCUUCAUCAUCUAGCUGGGAUGUGUGGCUGGUAGAGGUGAUGUCAUAGUGUGACAUUAGGAGUUUGUAUGUGACUUGGGCACGAUGGUUAAUGUCUUUCAGUUUUCUCAUCUGUAGAAUGGGCUUACUAAUUUCUACUUCAUUUAGUGUUUUUUUUUUUUUUUUUUUUUUUUUUUGGUGGCCGGUUAAAUGACUGAAGUAAGCACUGAAUAAACAAGGUGGUUAUUAUUAAA